This 500-nucleotide ribosomal RNA is filed under the name uncultured bacterium. RNAcentral describes it as "bacterial SSU rRNA". It matches the Rfam family "Bacterial small subunit ribosomal RNA", at positions 426 to 917 of the family's 1533-position model. The record is from RNAcentral.
UAAAGCCCUUUUGUUGGGAAAGAAAUCCAGCUGGUUAAUACCCGGUUGGGAUGACGGUACCCAAAGAAUAAGCACCGGCUAACUUCGUGCCAGCAGCCGCGGUAAUACGAAGGGUGCAAGCGUUACUCGGAAUUACUGGGCGUAAAGCGUGCGUAGGUGGUCGUUUAAGUCCGUUGUGAAAGCUCUGGGCUCAACCUGGGAACUGCAGUGGAUACUGGACGACUAGAGUGUGGUAGAGGGUAGCGGAAUUCCUGGUGUAGCAGUGAAAUGCGUAGAGAUCAGGAGGAACAUCCAUGGCGAAGGCAGCUACCUGGACCAACACUGACACUGAGGCACGAAAGCGUGGGGAGCAAACAGGAUUAGAUACCCUGGUAGUCCACGCCCUAAACGAUGCGAACUGGAUGUUGGGUGCAAUUUGGCACGCAGUAUCGAAGCUAACGCGUUAAGUUCGCCGCCUGGGGAGUACGGUCGCAAGACUGAAACUCAAAGGAAUUGACGGA